Schistosoma haematobium is the source of this 78-nucleotide non-coding RNA. The record is from Rfam. Lineage: Eukaryota; Metazoa; Platyhelminthes; Trematoda; Strigeidida; Schistosomatidae.
AGACUUCUGUAUAGGUGAUAAGAUUUCCUCACACACCAGAUCACAAGGACUGAUGAGACUCCCAAGAUAAGUGACGCG